GGACUCUUAAACAUAUCGGACUCGCUUGUUUUUGUUUUUCUUGGGGGUAAAAUAUGAAAGUGAUAAAAAUAGAAAAACGGUCGCUAUCGAAGUUGAGCAACAUGAAAAGAGCAUCACGUGUCAUUCGUUAGGCCAUUGUUGUCCUGAUCCUUGCUGUUUUUAGCUUCCGCCGAUCCAAACCUCCCCCAUAUUAAACUUGAAAGGUUACACGUUUCUUUAAUUCUAGGACUUUAAGUUUUAAAAGUCUUAGAAACCUCAAACCUCAUCUAUAUGGAAUAUAGUUGUGGUAUUUCAGAGUAUUAAAAAAAUGAACGUUGAGGAGAGUUGUACCAAAAUUUAUCUUUUAGGCGUGAUAUUUCUUAGAUAGAU
This is a long non-coding RNA of Arabidopsis thaliana (thale cress), 369 nucleotides long. RefSeq annotates it as other RNA. The transcript has a single exon. NCBI's taxonomy places the organism in Eukaryota, Viridiplantae, Streptophyta, Magnoliopsida, Brassicales, Brassicaceae. The record is from RefSeq.